Molecule: ribosomal RNA, 612 nt
Filed under: Streptomyces celluloflavus
Lineage: Bacteria; Bacillati; Actinomycetota; Actinomycetes; Kitasatosporales; Streptomycetaceae
Description: bacterial SSU rRNA
Rfam family: Bacterial small subunit ribosomal RNA
Source: RNAcentral
GCAAUCUGCCCUUCACUCUGGGACAAGCCCUGGAACACGGGGUCUAAUACCGGAUAUGACACACGACCGCAUGGUCUGUGUGUGGAAAGCUCCGGCGGUGAAGGAUGAGCCCGCGGCCUAUCAGCUUGUUGGUGGGGUGAUGGCCUACCAAGGCGACGACGGGUAGCCGGCCUGAGAGGGCGACCGGCCACACUGGGACUGAGACACGGCCCAGACUCCUACGGGAGGCAGCAGUGGGGAAUAUUGCACAAUGGGCGAAAGCCUGAUGCAGCGACGCCGCGUGAGGGAUGACGGCCUUCGGGUUGUAAACCUCUUUCAGCAGGGAAGAAGCGAAAGUGACGGUACCUGCAGAAGAAGCGCCGGCUAACUACGUGCCAGCAGCCGCGGUAAUACGUAGGGCGCAAGCGUUGUCCGGAAUUAUUGGGCGUAAAGAGCUCGUAGGCGGCUUGUCACGUCGGAUGUGAAAGCCCGGGGCUUAACCCCGGGUCUGCAUUCGAUACGGGCAGGCUAGAGUUCGGUAGGGGAGAUCGGAAUUCCUGGUGUAGCGGUGAAAUGCGCAGAUAUCAGGAGGAACACCGGUGGCGAAGGCGGAUCUCUGGGCCGAUACUGACG